Molecule: non-coding RNA, 185 nt
Filed under: Candidatus Limimonas coprohippi
Lineage: Bacteria; Bacillati; Bacillota; Clostridia; Eubacteriales; Acutalibacteraceae
Description: 6S RNA
Rfam family: 6S / SsrS RNA
About the family: E. coli 6S RNA was the first non coding RNA to be sequenced, but its function was unknown until recently. It consists of 184 nucleotides that fold into an extended hairpin structure with a large single-stranded internal bulge. The 6S RNA specifically associates with RNA polymerase holoenzyme containing the sigma70 specificity factor.
Source: RNAcentral
UAAAGCCUGCCGGGUGCGAUUCUCCUUGAAUACUAACCCAACGAUUUUUAAACGGGAGCCUAACUCGAAAGCGGAUUGCAGACCUCCCCUUUUUGGGAUGCUGGGAGCAUGGUAGUGGACGGAGGGCACCCACCUGCUUUGCUUGCAGGUUAAUAUAUCUUGGACCCCGGCUCGGCGGGUGACAU